CCUACGGGAGGCAGCAGUCGAGAAUCAUUCACAAUGGGGGAAACCCUGAUGGUGCGACGCCGCGUGGGGGAAUGAAGGUCUUCGGAUUGUAAACCCCUGUCAUGUGGGAGCAAAUUAAAAAGAUAGUACCACAAGAGGAAGAGACGGCUAACUCUGUGCCAGCAGCCGCGGUAAUACAGAGGUCUCAAGCGUUGUUCGGAAUCACUGGGCGUAAAGCGUGCGGAGGCCGUUUCGUAAGUCGUGUGUGAAAGGCGCGGGCUCAACCCGCGGACGGCACAUGAUACUGCGAGACUAGAGUAAUGGAGGGGGAACCGGAAUUCUCGGUGUAGCAGUGAAAUGCGUAGAUAUCGAGAGGAACACUCGUGGCGAAGGCGGGUUCCUGGACAUUAACUGACGCUGAGGCACGAAGGCCAGGGGAGCAAACAGGAUUAGAUACCCCAGUAGUC
This 446-nucleotide ribosomal RNA is filed under the name uncultured bacterium. RNAcentral's name for it is "partial 16S ribosomal RNA". It matches the Rfam family "Bacterial small subunit ribosomal RNA", at positions 338 to 795 of the family's 1533-position model. The record is from RNAcentral.